AUUGAACGCUGGCGGCAGGCUUAACACAUGCAAGUCGAACGAGUGGCGGACGGGUGAGUAAUGCUUGGGAAUCUGGCUUAUGGAGGGGGAUAACUGUCAGAAAGGACAGCUAAUACCGCAUAUUAUUCGAGCGGCCGAGGUCGGAUUAGCUGGUUGGCGGGGUAAAGGCCCACCAAGGCGACGAUCAGUAGCGGGUCUGAGAGGAUGAUCAGCCACACUGGGACUGAGACACGGCCCAGACUCCUACGGGAGGCAGCAGUGGGGAAUUUUGGACAAUGGGCGCAAGCCUGAUCCAGCCAUGCCGCGUGUAUGAAGAAGGCCUUCGGGUUGUAAAGGACUUUUGUCAGGGAAGCGGUACCUGAAGAAUAAGCACCGGCUAACUACGUGCCAGCCGCCGCGGUAAUAC
Molecule: ribosomal RNA, 406 nt
Filed under: uncultured bacterium
Lineage: Bacteria
Description: partial 16S ribosomal RNA
Rfam family: Bacterial small subunit ribosomal RNA
Source: RNAcentral